GCCAUUUUCGAGUGAUGCCUGAUCUCAUCAAUCUAGCGGGAGAGACAGGAUAACCUGUCCGAGAGUAUAGCGCCACUAUGACUCCGCCGGAAAAAUUACUUUAAAAAUCGCCAAAAAUUACUUGGAGCAAAGGGCAGUCGGCGGAGCUUCGCCAAGGCUGGCGCAGUCGGUUUAAUAAUGAUAGAAUGAAGACCACAAUAAAAGAGACCUCUACUUAGCUCAGCAAUUCUUACCUUUCUUACCUAUUUGAUGAAGAUGUCUUUUGAAAGGUGUACUGCAAGGAACAAAAUGUUUGUAAAUUCUCCUUUUACCAAGGUAAAGAUCAAAUUUUAUAAAUUUACUUGUUUGUUUAUACAAGGAAAAAUAACUUCAUAUAUUGAAUAUAUUCAAAAGUUUAAGCAUUUAGUUGUAUUGCCCUGUUAAGUUGGCAUAGCAAAUAAAUGCUUUUCUUUUCCUCAUUUUAUUCUUUGUGUUUCCUAACCUAUAGCACUGUGCUGGGCACAGAAUGGACUUCAGUUAAGUUUUUGAUGUAGAAAUGUUUUAUUAUUCUACUUAAAAUCUCCUUAAAAAUAAUUAUGCAUAUUACAUCAAUGUUAUAAUGUUUAAACAUAGAUUUUUUUACAUGCAUUCUUUUUUUCCUGAAAGAAAAUAUUUUUUAUAUUCUUUAGGCGCGAAUGUGUGUUUAAAAAAAAUAAAACCUUGGAGUAAAG
RNAcentral lists this long non-coding RNA (710 nucleotides) under Homo sapiens (human). Lineage: Eukaryota; Metazoa; Chordata; Mammalia; Primates; Hominidae. The record is from RNAcentral.